This 1264-nucleotide long non-coding RNA is filed under the name Trifolium pratense (red clover). RNAcentral describes it as "long non-coding RNA (TPRA_LNC012058)". The record is from RNAcentral. Lineage: Eukaryota; Viridiplantae; Streptophyta; Magnoliopsida; Fabales; Fabaceae.
UUUUUUCCAGUUUGUAAUCUUGAGGAAAGAGUACAAAAGGUUGGACAAGCACAUGACAAUAAAGAAAAUGGAGAGGGAGGGUCACCAUCCUCUGUGUGACGGUUCCAUUUCAUCCUCUCAUGUUUGGAGUUUCUAUGUUUUCGUUAUGUUUGUUGAAGGUUCAGAACUGCUUCGACAUAAUCACCGCACCAGUCUUUUUUGCCACCAUUCGUGAUCUUCUCUUCAAAUGUGAGUCUUCUUCUUUGACUUUUUUUUGAAGGAUUUAGAAUACCAGGUAGCUUAAAUUUAAAUAUUUUUUUCUGCAGAUGUUAAAAGCACAUACUUUUAGUCUGAUUGUUCUUAAGAUAGUUAUAGUUACAUGUUAAAAGCAUAUGUGUCGGUGAUCUUUAAAAAAGAUUCUAACAUCAAAACCUUGAGUCUCUUGGCUAAUGAUUUGUAGUUAUAAUUUGAGAUUUUGUAUAAAAUCUCUGCAUACGGUGGUGUUUGCUGAACAUAGUGUUUUUUUCUACCACUAUCACUAAAGAGUAAAGGGUAUUAGUUUACAAUGACGAAAGCAACUGCCAAGAACAAUAUAAAAUAUCUUAUAUUAUAUCAUCAAUGAAGUUAUAUAAAGCUAUAUUUGUACUUUGAAGGGUGUUUGGUAGUCNNNNNNNNNNNNNNNNNNNNNNNNNNNNNNNNNNGAAGGGAGGUUAGAAAGGGAGAUAGCAUCAACACAAAUUGCUAAAGAACAAUGAGAUCAUUUUGAGGACUAUAUUUAGUUUUAUAGUGUGUAUUAUUUCUUUGAAUUUCCUUUCUAUUACUUAAUUUCAUUUUAUUAUUACUACUACUUAAUUUCAUUUUAUCAUUUUGAGGACUAUUGUUUGAGUGAUCACUUAUAGUUUGAUACUUUUAAUUACUUUAGUUUGAUUUAGAUAGAAAAAAUCAUUGUCAUCCUUUGAAUUACUUACUUUAAUGAGAGUUGGUGAGCUACAUAGCUUUCUUUGUAUUUGAAAACUCUCAAUGAUUGUGAAAGAAAAAUAAAGCUUACCAUAGAUCUGUUUUGGAUUGAUUGCUAAGUUUUAAUAUGCACCAUUGUUUACAUUUUCGUUUGUUAACUUAACAUGUUUCAAAUUAGGUAGGCUAAAAAAAAAAAUGUAUGAGUUGAAUGAAUGUUUUCUUUUUUGGUUGUGACUAAUUUUUUUACACAAUUGUAGAUGGCAGGAGCAAGAAAGGUUUACCAUGAAGAGGUUGAACUUCUUGGGAGAUGACCAAGUUUUUAUAUGNN